RNAcentral lists this long non-coding RNA (838 nucleotides) under Macaca nemestrina (pig-tailed macaque). RNAcentral describes it as "lncRNA (ENSMNEG00000045917.1)". The record is from RNAcentral. Lineage: Eukaryota; Metazoa; Chordata; Mammalia; Primates; Cercopithecidae.
UUCUACUCAUUUAGAAAACAGCAUACGAAACAUUGAAUUAAAAUGUGAUUAAGUGGAAUGAAUUUCAGGCACACUUGGCACAGAUAUAAUAUUUCUAGCUAUCUUUGCCUAGCUAGAUGCUUGAGAUGAUUUUUCCAAUCAGUGUGUAUCCUUUUUGCCCACAUUCACAACUAUUUCUGUACUUGGCUAAAAGUUCUAAGAACUAGGCUCAGACUCUUGUCUUGCUUACAAAAAUGCUAGAAAAUAUAUGCAAAUAACAGUGUGUUUUCCACUUUCAGGAUAUAUUUGGCGUUAAACUCAGGACAGAAGAAGACACAAACUUUAUCUUGUGGUUUGGGUCCUCCAAUGCUCGUAAAAGUGUGGUUUCACCUGUUACCUCAUAAAGGUGCCAUUGCUGUAUGCACAUCUGAAUCUAUUUACAAUUUGAGAAUACAGUGUGGACCUGGCCUUAGAAUCUUCACCCCAAAGAGCAUUCCAGUCAAAGAAAGAAGAAGGAAAUAUUCCACUGUGGGGGCAAUCAAACAACUAGCACUGCCCUAGACAGGGAAUUAGGAAAAGAAAGAUGGACACUAGCUGUAAUUUAAACGAAUUUGAUUUUUCUUUAUGUAAUAAUGUGAGAUAAUUAUCUCCCAAAGUUCUAUUGGGUGAAAGCAAGCUGGUUUUCAUAUUUUAUUAUCUAUUUGUCUAUUAAUCUUUCUGUCUAUUAUCUCUCUCUCUCUCUCUCUCUCUCUCUCUCUGUCACCUAUCAAAAGAGGGCCAAGAAUUGGACUUGUUCAGUGAUUGUAGGGGCUGUCUUUUAAGCACAUAUCUGUAUUAAUAUAUUUUUGUUCAUGCCACC